CCUGAGCAAGUGGGCCUCGAUCCCACAACAAACUUUAAUUAACAACUAAAAAUCCCAUCCAGCGGACCUUUGCUCA
RNAcentral lists this transfer RNA (76 nucleotides) under Rhoptropus taeniostictus. RNAcentral's name for it is "tRNA-Asn". The record is from RNAcentral. Lineage: Eukaryota; Metazoa; Chordata; Lepidosauria; Squamata; Gekkonidae.